GAUGAACGCUGGCGGCGUGCCUAAUACAUGCAAGUCGAGCGAACGGACGAGAAGCUUGCUUCUCUGAUGUUAGCGGCGGACGGGUGAGUAACACGUGGAUAACCUACCUAUAAGACUGGGAUAACUUCGGGAAACCGGAGCUAAUACCGGAUAAUAUUUUGAACCGCAUGGUUCAAAAGUGAAAGACGGUCUUGCUGUCACUUAUAGAUGGAUCCGCGCUGCAUUAGCUAGUUGGUAAGGUAACGGCUUACCAAGGCAACGAUGCAUAGCCGACCUGAGAGGGGGAUCGGCCACACUGGAACUGAGACCCGGUCCAGACCCCUACGGGAGGCAGCAGGAGGAAAUCUUCCGCAAGGGGCGAAAGCCUGACGGAGCAACGCCGCGGGAGUGAUGAAGGUCUUCGGAUCGUAAAACUCUGUUAUUAGGAAAAAAAAUAUGUGUAAGUAACUGUGCACAUCUUGACGGUACCAAAACAAAAAGCCACGGCUAACUACGG
This 496-nucleotide ribosomal RNA is filed under the name uncultured bacterium. RNAcentral describes it as "partial 16S ribosomal RNA". It matches the Rfam family "Bacterial small subunit ribosomal RNA", at positions 28 to 506 of the family's 1533-position model. The record is from RNAcentral.